GCCGGGCUGGGGAAGAGGUUGAACCCAACUCCCCCUGCAACGGGGAGGCGCAGCAGCCUACGCGGGUUCGAAUCCCGCCCCCGGCU
Molecule: transfer RNA, 86 nt
Filed under: Pseudomonadota bacterium
Lineage: Bacteria; Pseudomonadati; Pseudomonadota
Also listed under: 2 other names
Description: tRNA-Cys
Rfam family: tRNA
About the family: Transfer RNA (tRNA) molecules are approximately 80 nucleotides in length. Their secondary structure includes four short double-helical elements and three loops (D, anti-codon, and T loops).
Source: RNAcentral